AUUGAACGCUGGCGGAAUGCUUUACACAUGCAAGUCGAGCGGCAGCGCGGGGGCAACCCUGGCGGCGAGCGGCGAACGGGUGAGUAAUGUAUCGGAACGUACCCUGUCGUGGGGGAUAACACAGCGAAAGCUGUGCUAAUACCGCAUACGACCUGAGGGUGAAAGCGGGGGACCGUAAGGCCUCGCGCGAUAGGAGCGGCCGAUAUCGGAUUAGCUUGUUGGUGAGGUAAAGGCUCACCAAGGCGACGAUCCGUAGCUGGUCUGAGAGGACGACCAGCCACACUGGAACUGAGACACGGUCCAGACUCCUACGGGAGGCAGCAGUGGGGAAUUUUGGACAAUGGGGGCAACCCUGAUCCAGCCAUUCCGCGUGAGUGAAGAAGGCC
Molecule: ribosomal RNA, 386 nt
Filed under: uncultured bacterium
Lineage: Bacteria
Description: bacterial SSU rRNA
Rfam family: Bacterial small subunit ribosomal RNA
Source: RNAcentral